CACGGAGUUAGCCGGGGCUUCUUUACUGGGUACAGUCAUUAUCUUCCCCAGCGAAAGAGCUUUACAACCCUAAGGCCUUCAUCGCUCACGCGGCAUGGCUAGAUCAGGCUUGCGCCCAUUGUCUAAGAUUCCCCACUGCUGCCUCCCGUAGGAGUCUGGGCCGUGUCUCAGUCCCAGUGUGGCUGGUCAUCCUCUCAAACCAGCUAUGGAUCGUCGCCUUGGUGAGCCAUUACCUCACCAACAAGCUAAUCCAACGCGGGCCGAUCUUUUGCCGAUAAAUCUUUCCUCCGAAGAGCACAUCCGGUAUUACUCCCAGUUUCCCGAGGCUAUUCCGAAGCAAAAGGUACGUUCCCACGUGUUACUCACCCGUCCGCCACUACACCCGAAGGUGCCGUUCGACUUGCAUGUGUUAGGCCUGCCGCCAGCGUUCAUUCUGAGCCAGGAUCAAACUC
This 452-nucleotide ribosomal RNA is filed under the name uncultured Paracoccaceae bacterium. RNAcentral describes it as "uncultured Rhodobacteraceae bacterium partial 16S ribosomal RNA". The record is from RNAcentral. Lineage: Bacteria; Pseudomonadati; Pseudomonadota; Alphaproteobacteria; Rhodobacterales; Paracoccaceae.